UUUGGUUAUUUUUAUUGCUUGUAAAAAAUGUACAUGUAAAAGUGCCCCUGUGGCCUAUUUGCUGAAUAAAUGUUUGAUUUUUGAUAACGUUCGCGUUGUUUUUAGGGUUCCGUAGCCAAAUGGCAAAAAACGGAACCCUUAUAGAUUCGUCAUGUCUGUCUGCCCAUCCGUAUGUCACAGCCACUUUUUUCCGAAACUAUAAGAACUAUACUGUUGAAACUUGGUAAGUAGGUAUUCUGUGAACCGCAUUAAGAUUUUCACUCAAAAAUAGAAAAAAAAAAUUUGGGGUUCCCCCAUACUUAGAACUGAAACUUUUUUUUUCAUAAACCCACACGUGUGGUCUAUCUAUGGAUAGGUGUUCAAAAAUGAUAUUGAGGUUUCUAAUAUCAUUUUUUUCUAAACUGAAUAGUUUGCGCGAGAGACACUUCCAAAGUGGUAAAAUGUGUCCCCCCCCCCUGUAACUUCUAAAAUAAGAGAAUGAUAAAACUAAAAAAAAUAUAUGAUAUA
Molecule: long non-coding RNA, 507 nt
Organism: Cydia fagiglandana
Lineage: Eukaryota; Metazoa; Arthropoda; Insecta; Lepidoptera; Tortricidae
Exons: 2
Source: RefSeq, a predicted model, not a curated record